This 253-nucleotide ribosomal RNA is filed under the name uncultured bacterium. Its description in RNAcentral is "partial 16S ribosomal RNA". It matches the Rfam family "Bacterial small subunit ribosomal RNA", at positions 524 to 776 of the family's 1533-position model. The record is from RNAcentral.
UACGUAGGGUGCAAGCGUUAAUCGGAAUUACUGGGCGUAAAGCGUGCGCAGGCGGUUAUGCAAGACAGAGGUGAAAUCCCCGGGCUCAACCUGGGAACUGCCUUUGUGACUGCAUAGCUAGAGUACGGUAGAGGGGCGUGGAAUUCCGGGUGGAGCGGUGAAAUGCGUAGAGAUCCGGAGGAACACCGACGGCGUAGGCAGCGCCCUGGACGACACCUGACGCUGAGGCACGAAAGCUGGAGGAGCGAACAGG